AAGUCGUAACAAGGUCUCCGUAGGUGAACCUGCGGAGGGAUCAUUAACACGUUUCCGAACGUUUAAAACAUUUUCACAUCAACCGCGUGAUAUAAUUGAAUCAAAAACAAACCGACCUAGAAUUAAGAGAAUUCUGUUUAGAAUGCACGGAGUGAUGAGUGUGCAUGCGGGCAACUGCAUGCAUACGGUGUAUCUAAACUAGUAUCGCGUGUCUCACUGUGUGCGCAAGUAUACAGUGUUAUUGGACUUUACAAGACCUCUUUCUUUUAGGCUUUUAACCAUAGUUCCCUUCAUCGCUGGAGCGCAACAACCCCUUUCACCACUUAUAACCACUUGACUGAUAUGUUCUCAGCAUGGCGAAAGCCGCGUAUGAAACAACAAAUAAUCAAAUAUCUAAGCACAACUCUUAGCAACGGAUAUCUUGGUUCUC
Molecule: unclassified non-coding RNA, 430 nt
Filed under: fungal sp.
Lineage: Eukaryota; Fungi
Description: partial internal transcribed spacer region
Rfam family: Eukaryotic small subunit ribosomal RNA (bases 1-46)
Source: RNAcentral